Molecule: ribosomal RNA, 253 nt
Filed under: uncultured bacterium
Lineage: Bacteria
Description: partial 16S ribosomal RNA
Rfam family: Bacterial small subunit ribosomal RNA
Source: RNAcentral
UACGUAGGGAGCAAGCGUUGUCCGGAAUCAUUGGGCGUAAAGCGCGCGUAGGCGGCCUCAUAAGUCCGUUGUGAAAGUCAAAGGCUCAACCUUUGAAAGCCGAUGGAUACUGUGAGGCUAGAGUCCGGAAGAGGCGAGUGGAAUUCCUGGUGUAGCGGUGGAAUGCGCAGAUAUCAGGAGGAACACCAAUAGCGAAGGCAGCUCGCUGGGACGGCACUGACGCUAAGGCGCGAAAGCGUGGGGAGCAAACAGG